GCCUAGUUAGCUUGGAAGGUAGCACCCUGCCUUGUGAGCACUAGGUCGCGGGUUCGAAUCCCGCCCGAGGCA
RNAcentral lists this transfer RNA (72 nucleotides) under Diaphorina citri (Asian citrus psyllid). It matches the Rfam family "tRNA". Rfam says of the family: Transfer RNA (tRNA) molecules are approximately 80 nucleotides in length. Their secondary structure includes four short double-helical elements and three loops (D, anti-codon, and T loops). The record is from Rfam by way of RNAcentral. Lineage: Eukaryota; Metazoa; Arthropoda; Insecta; Hemiptera; Psyllidae.